GUCUUCGUAGUAUAUCCAUUACCCUGGUCUUGUAAACCAGAAAAGGAGAAUAACCCCUCCCCAAGACU
Molecule: transfer RNA, 68 nt
Filed under: Tapirus indicus (Asiatic tapir)
Lineage: Eukaryota; Metazoa; Chordata; Mammalia; Perissodactyla; Tapiridae
Description: tRNA-Thr
Source: RNAcentral